CAGGAUCCACACCGGACAGUUGAUUCAUUAGAGGAUACUUCUAGUGAUUUGUUGUUCACGAAGAGAAGGAGUCGAGGCCCCACACGAUGCCAUCAAGUUUGGAACAUGCGUGAAGGGCAACGCAUUUUUAUUACCACCAACAAUCUAGGGCAGCUCGUUAAUGAAAAUGUUAGCAAGCUGACAAAUUUUUUAGGGACAAUAGCAUGUAAUGGGGAUUACGCACCCCUUACAUAUUCUAAUUGGAGGGUAGUGCCAAACGAGAAGAAGGAUGAUAUAUACGAACUUUUCAUGUCCAAGUUUCAGUUUGACAAAGAGAUUAAAUCUUGGGUGUUGAUGUCAAUUGGAAAAAAAUGGAGGGACUGGAAGUGCGAACUGAAGAAAUUCCACUACUCGACUCAUGAUAAUGAUGAGGCGCGGCUAGCAGACCUCAAUGAGCAUGUCCAAAUGGAUCAGUGGA
Magnolia sinica is the source of this 457-nucleotide long non-coding RNA. RefSeq lists it as uncharacterized. The transcript is spliced from 3 exons. Lineage: Eukaryota; Viridiplantae; Streptophyta; Magnoliopsida; Magnoliales; Magnoliaceae. The record is from RefSeq and is a predicted model, not a curated record.